CAUCGUCGUAUAUGUAUGAAAUGGAUGACACAGAACAUCCUGAAGAUGGUAUCUUCAUUCGCCAAGUGACAGAUGCAGAAACAAAACCCAAGUCACCAUGUACUUGACAAGAUUUCAUUUACUUAAGUGCCAUGUUGAUGAUAAUAAAACAAUUCGUACUCCCCAAUGGUGGAUUUAUUACUAUUAACAAAGAAACCAGGGAAAUAUAUUAAUUUUAAUAUUAUAAGAACCUGAAAAUAAUGGAAAAGAGGUUUUUAUUGAUUUUUUUUUUUUAAACGAACACUUUUAAGUGCAUGAGACGGUUGAUGGUUUGUUGCAUUAAGGGUAUUCUGGGCAAACAAAAUUGGAGGGCAGUGAUUACACUUUUGAGAAUCAGUUUUGACCUUGAUAAUUUUUGUUUCCACUGUGGAAAUACAUGUUUGUAAAUAAAUAUAGGUAAUAAAAAUCCUUUUGCAUUCUUUCUGGACCUUAAAUGGUGGAGGAAAAGGCUCUUGAGCCAUUUGUUUCUUUUGCUGGUUGUACUUGCUAAUUCGAAAGCUGCUUCAGACUGCCUCAUGAGGAGGUUAAUCUACAAUUAAACAGUAUUUCCUCUUGGCCGUCCAUUAUUUUCCGAAGCAGAUGGUUCAUCGUUUCCUGGGCUGUUCAACAAAGCAAGGUUAAGGUUAGACUCCUGGGAAUCAGCUAGUUUUCAAUCUUAUUAGGGUGCAGAAGGAAAACUAAUAAGAAAACCUCCUAACUUCAUUUUGUGACUGUAAACAAUUAUUUAUUAGCAAACAAUUGAUCCCAGAAGGGCAAAUUGUUUGAGUCAGUAAUGAGCUGAGAAAAGACAGAGCAUAUCUGUGUAUUUGGAAAAAUAAUUGUAACGUAAUUGCAGUACAUUUAGACAGGCAUCUAUUUGGACCUGUUUCUAUCUCUAAAUGAAUUUUUGGAAACAUUAACAAGGUUUACAUAUUUCUGUGACAUUUAUAUAGUUCUCAUGUCCAUUUCAGUUGCCCAGCCGCUGGUGAUUAAGGUUAAAAAGAAAAAAAUUAUAGUGAGAAUGAGAUUCACUUUAAUGUAAUGCCCUGAAACAGAACACGAACUUCGCUUGGCCUGUUACAGCUAGUUCCACAUAGUGUUUCUGUGGUCAGACUUUGGUGUUUAUUUAUAUUAUUUGCAAAUGUAUGUUUUGAAUGGGCCUUGGACCUUUACUGAAAUUUAUCCAUGACAUGUUUUUUAAGAAAUUCUUUUGAUACAGAGAAAGGUCUUUUAUUUUCUGAGUGUUUCAGUGAAAACUUAGUGUAAGUCUGAACCCAUCUUUUGAAAUGUAUUUUCUUCAUUGCAGGUCCACCUAAUCAUCUCGUGAAAGUGGUUUCUCUAUGGCAAGCUUUGUUUUGCUUCCUACAAAUACAUACUUAUCCCCUAAGGGAUGCGUUAUAGUCAUUGUGGACACCUUAUUUAGUGUGUGGAUUUCUCUGUUUUCUGUCUGAACAAAAAACUUGUCUGUGUGCCCUUUCAUGCUGACUGUAUAGGAUGAGGAGUCUUUGUGUCCUUGUGUGGUAGUCCGAAGAAUUGUUUUUACCCCCAGAAAGCCCAGUUGCUGUUUAUGAGCAGCUAGAGCUCUUUUUGUAAAAUAAUUUAAAGCUGUUAUUUCCAUGCUGUCUAAUAAAUCAGAGAUUCAGAACCCUUAAA
Leptonychotes weddellii (Weddell seal) is the source of this 1671-nucleotide non-coding RNA. Lineage: Eukaryota; Metazoa; Chordata; Mammalia; Carnivora; Phocidae. The record is from RefSeq and is a predicted model, not a curated record.